Molecule: non-coding RNA, 61 nt
Organism: Pristionchus pacificus
Lineage: Eukaryota; Metazoa; Nematoda; Chromadorea; Rhabditida; Neodiplogasteridae
Source: Rfam
UCUUCAUUCCUCAUACUCUCUCACCGGUCAGAAUGACGAGAGAGCACGGAGAAUGAAGAGA